Molecule: ribosomal RNA, 274 nt
Filed under: uncultured bacterium
Lineage: Bacteria
Description: partial 16S ribosomal RNA
Rfam family: Bacterial small subunit ribosomal RNA
Source: RNAcentral
CAAACUGGAGAUGGCGACCGGCGCACGGGUGAGUAACACGUAUCCAACCUGCCGAUAACUCGGGGAUAGCCUUUCGAAAGAAAGAUUAAUACCCGAUGGCAUAAUAGAACCGCAUGGUUUGAUUAUUAAAGAAUUUCGGUUAUCGAUGGGGAUGCGUUCCAUUAGGCAGUUGGUGGGGUAAUGGCCCACCAAACCUUCGAUGGAUAGGGGUUCUGAGAGGAAGGUCCCCCACAUUGGAACUGAGACACGGUCCAAACUCCUACGGGAGGCAAUG